GGCUCAUAUCUUCUAUAGGUGAGCUGAGUCCAUGAUCAGAAGACAUCAGAAGGCAUCAGACAUGCACAUAUUUGGGAAGAGCAAGUGCAAAGACCCUGAGGAGAAAGGGCAUUGGGCGUGUGCAAGCAAGCCAGUGUGACGGGUGUGAGUGACCAAGGAGGUGUGUGAGAGGGAUGAGAUCAAAUCAGAGUUUCAGAGGAUAAAGAAUAAGCCUGAACCUCCUGGCAUCUGUCUCCAGUCUGCCUGAUAAAACAGCCAACAUGGAGGGAAGCUGAACUGAGAGGGAAAGAAUGAGGCUAAGUUCUGAUGGCCUCACUGGAGUUUCUGGAUCUGGCUAUGUCUGAAGGCUUGGUUUCAUGGGCUUAUUUUCAUGGGCUUUGCAAUGAGCAUGCGCCAUAGGAUAAAGGGAGGAGGGACUGAAAGCCUCUGCAUCACCUCAAGGAAUGUAUGUUUAUUCCAAUCAGACUACUUUUUGCCUUUCGGGGGCAUAGGUGACCUCCGGGUAAGGCUGUGACUCUGUAGUACUCAGCCAAUGAGGAACCAGGAGAGGACUCGCCUGCUAGGAGAUCAAUUACCUGCUGUAACUGCCCCAAGUGUGCCUGUCCAUCAGACACCUGCUCUUGCAAAUGCCUUGAUUAAAGCCUCUCUUCACUGUG
Molecule: long non-coding RNA, 656 nt
Organism: Neofelis nebulosa (Clouded leopard)
Lineage: Eukaryota; Metazoa; Chordata; Mammalia; Carnivora; Felidae
Exons: 3
Source: RefSeq, a predicted model, not a curated record